AUUGAACGCUGGCGGCAGGCCUAACACAUGCAAGUCGAACGGUAACAGGAAGAAGCUUGCUUCUUUGCUGACGAGUGGCGGACGGGUGAGUAAUGUCUGGGAAACUUCCUGAUGGAGGGGGAUAACUACUGGAAACGGUAGCUAAUACCGCAUAACGUCGCAAGACCAAAGAGGGGGACCUUCGGGCUUCUUGCCAUCGGAUGUGCCCAGAUGGGAUUAGCUAGUAGGUGGGGUAACGGCUCACCUAGGCGACGAUCCCUAGCUGGUCUGAGAGGAUGACCAGCCACACUGGAACUGAGACACGGUCCAGACUCCUACGGGAGGCAGCAGUGGGGAAUAUUGCACAAUGGGCGCAAGCCUGAUGCAGCCAUGCCGCGUGUAUGAAGAAGGCCUUCGGGUUGUAAAGUACUUUCAGCGGGGAGGAAGGGAGUAAAGUUAAUACCUUUGCUCAUUGACGUUACCCGCAGAAGAAGCACCGGCUAACUCCGUG
RNAcentral lists this ribosomal RNA (490 nucleotides) under uncultured bacterium. RNAcentral describes it as "partial 16S ribosomal RNA". It matches the Rfam family "Bacterial small subunit ribosomal RNA", at positions 30 to 507 of the family's 1533-position model. The record is from RNAcentral.